RNAcentral lists this transfer RNA (75 nucleotides) under Williamsia sp. RNAcentral's name for it is "tRNA-Arg". It matches the Rfam family "tRNA". From Rfam's summary of the family: Transfer RNA (tRNA) molecules are approximately 80 nucleotides in length. Their secondary structure includes four short double-helical elements and three loops (D, anti-codon, and T loops). Lineage: Bacteria; Bacillati; Actinomycetota; Actinomycetes; Mycobacteriales; Nocardiaceae. The record is from RNAcentral.
UCCUUCUUAGCUCAAUUUGGAUAGAGCGUCCGUCUACGAAACGGAAGGUUACAGGUUCGACCCCUGUAGAAGGAA